CUAAACUUGAAAACCCUUUUGACUUCUUUGAGCUGUCACAUCUUAACCCUAACUAUUCAUCUCUCCUUCAUCUUACGAAAUUCUGCAAAGUGAUUAAGAAAAUCAUGGAUUUCAAUGUCAGAUCUUCAAUUCGUUCCCUUUGCACCGCUCAUCAAUAAUUUUACUUGCCUAAUUUUCUCUUCCUGCCAGCCUUCAAUGGUGUUUAAUUUCGUCUUCUCGCUGCCGAUAAAAUUGAGAUUGGAAAAGGCAAUGUAGGUGCAACAAGAGAAUAGGCCGGGACACUUGAGCAUUAAAACAAGCGACUAAAUCGUCUAUAACGCCAUCAUCUAUAUGUUUUGGUUUUUAGUCUUAUUUAUAUUAGUGAUGUAUUAUUUAGGGACAAGCUACUAUAAUAUGCGACUUUUUAUUA
Long non-coding RNA from Chenopodium quinoa (quinoa), 409 nucleotides. RefSeq lists it as uncharacterized. The transcript has 2 exons. The record is from RefSeq and is a predicted model, not a curated record. Lineage: Eukaryota; Viridiplantae; Streptophyta; Magnoliopsida; Caryophyllales; Amaranthaceae.